AACGAACGCUGGCGGCAUGCCUAACACAUGCCAGUCGAACGAGACCUUCGGGUCUAGUGGCGCACGGGUGCGUAACGCGUGGGAACCUGCCCUUAGGUUCGGAAUAACUCCCCGAAAGGGGUGCUAAUACCGGAUAAUGUCUUCGGGCCAAAGAUUUAUCGCCUUUGGAUGGGCCCGCGUUGGAUUAGCUAGUUGGUAGGGUAAAAGCCUACCAAGGCGACGAUCCAUAGCUGGUCUGAGAGGAUGAUCAGCCACACUGGGACUGAGACACGGCCCAGACUCCUACGGGAGGCAGCAGUGGGGAAUAUUGGACAAUGGGCGAAAGCCUGAUCCAGCAAUGCCGCGUGAGUGAUGAAGGCCUUAGGGUUGUAAAGCUCUUUUACCCGGGAUGAUAAUGACAGUACCGGGAGAAUAAGCGCCGGCUAACUCCGUG
This 433-nucleotide ribosomal RNA is filed under the name uncultured bacterium. RNAcentral describes it as "partial 16S ribosomal RNA". It matches the Rfam family "Bacterial small subunit ribosomal RNA", at positions 29 to 507 of the family's 1533-position model. The record is from RNAcentral.